UGUAGCUGUCACAGCUAUUAUUCCUGCUCUGGGCUCUCCCUGGGUUGCUGGAUACCUGACUCAAUCAGCCAAAGCUGGGCACAUACCUCACGUCAGGCUCUGCGGUGGCAGCAUGUAGCGGCAACCUCCCGUUUUUGUCAGGCAUCCAGGUCCUUUAGCCUACAGGAAGUGGGCAAGCACAGCCUGGGGACGUGCAGCCAGAAUGCCCUUGGUGCAAUGUCUGCUGAAGAUGACCUCCCAGUGUCCAUGGCCAUGGUUGUACCUGGCAGCACGGUGUGCACUGGAUCCUGCCAGCAGCUGAGGAAUGCGCUGACUGAUGGAGCCUGGGAGACCUGGAGCCUCCCAGGUUAGAGGGGCAAUCUCCUCCAUGGUGGAAGUCAGCAGAAAUCAGCAGUGCUCUGACAGGAGCAUAGCAUUUUUGUUCUCCUCUGCAGUGAAGGACCUUGUGCAAUGAGGGUAAUCAUUAAAGAUCUCUUAUUGCAUCCUUAAUGCAUUCAUAAUUCAUGAUAUUUUGAGAAGUAUACUGCUUUUAUAUGUGUGGCACAACAUUAAAAAAGCCCACUUUGAAGUAUUUUCCUACAUGUUUUACUGAUCACAAAAUAGAGGCAUUUCAGAAGUGUUGUUCCACAAACCAUUUUAGGCUCUAUUUUAAACUAGCUACCUUACCUGCUAUUGUUUUGUUAGAUUCUCUGAGAAAGCAACAAGUGAGAAUGUUUUUUAAUGAAAAUCCGUGACUACCUUUUUGAUUAAACCUCAAAUGCCUAAUGUCCUCUGCUGCUGCACUUUAAGAUAUAUUUAAUAAAACUCUUCAAAAACCAAGCCCCAGAUCUUAUCUGCAGAUCGACUGCCCAAUGCACGAAGAGCUCUUGCAUCACAGUUUGUUUUCCUCACUGCAGUCUCUGGUCCCCAGUCUGAGAGUGGAGCUGCUAAUAUGAAGUAAAAGGUCCUGACUUUGCUCUAUUUCUUGAUGUCUGCCAUCACUUGCUGUUGUUCCAGCUGGAUGUCACAGUAAGCAGCUACACUUUCUUCUCCUUCUUCCUAAAAGUGGACAUAAGUGGUGGUGAUGAAGACAUCUCUGAGGAGGACAAAGGGAGCACAGGGAAGCUUCCAGCCUCUCUGCAUAACAGGAGGUGAACAAUUGCUGCCCGGUUGAACAGGCUAAGUCUGUGGGACUUGAAACUUGUCCCUCUGCUGCAACAAAUGGCUAUAUAUAGCCUGGGGUGGAAAUCAAACUUGAGGAUGAGUGUUUGGAUAGGAAUAGGGAAGCAGAAGUUGUCAUCUCAGGAAACAAAAUCUUGAUCAUCUCUGAUCUUAAUGUCCUUUUGAGUAUCGCUGAAAAGAAUAACUAUUUAUCACCUGGGUGAAUACCUCUUCCUACCUGUAAGUCCCUGGCUGUGUUAAGUUGGCAAUCACAGUGAUAAUCAGAUGAUGCUGUCCUGGCUGUCCCUGGCAGUGGAGCUCCUGCAUGUGGUUUCAAUCCUACGGGAAAAUAAUGACUAUUGUGAUCAUCCCCCCCACACACAUACACAGGCAUAUCACAAACAGCAUGAUGUCAGGUUCAGUUCCUGCAAACUGUUACUGUUGCAGUGGAUUCUCAUAUGGCAGACUGCAAUAAAUUCAUUUUCUUAUUAAAAAGUCAAGGGAAUAAAACAUGCUUUCUGUGAUUAACAAAGAAACCAGAUGUUCAAUAAUUAUUGAAGUGCAGGCAAAUUCAAAGCCAAAUAAAGCAAGCAUGGCUCGA
Long non-coding RNA from Parus major (Great Tit), 1741 nucleotides. RefSeq lists it as uncharacterized. The transcript has 2 exons. The record is from RefSeq and is a predicted model, not a curated record. NCBI's taxonomy places the organism in Eukaryota, Metazoa, Chordata, Aves, Passeriformes, Paridae.